Molecule: ribosomal RNA, 393 nt
Filed under: uncultured bacterium
Lineage: Bacteria
Description: bacterial SSU rRNA
Rfam family: Bacterial small subunit ribosomal RNA
Source: RNAcentral
AACGAACGCUGGCGGCAGGCCUAACACAUGCAAGUCGAGCGAACCCUUCGGGGUUAGCGGCGGACGGGUUAGUAACGCGUGGGAAUAUACCCUUUGGUACGGAAUAGCCUCGGGGAAACUGAGAGUAAUACCGUAUGUGCCCUUCGGGGAAGGAUUAUCGCCAAGGAUUAGCCCGCGUUGGAUUAGGUAGUUGGUGGGGUAAGUGGCCUACCAAGCCUACGAUCCAUAGCUGGUUUGAGAGGAUGAUCAGCAACACUGGGACUGAGACACGGCCCAGACUCCUACGGGAGGCAGCAGUGGGGAAUCUUAGACAAUGGGCGGCAAGCCUGAUCUAGCCAUGCCGCGUGGACGAUGAAGGCCUUAGGGUUGUAAAGUCCUUUCAGAUGGGAAGAU